GUUAUAUGGUCAAGUGAAGAAGCGCAUACGGUGGAUGCCUUGGCAGUCAGAGGCGAUGAAAGACGUGGUAGCCUGCGAAAAGCUUCGGGGAGUCGGCAAACAGACUUUGAUCCGGAGAUCUCUGAAUGGGGGAACCCACCUAGGAUAACCUAGGUAUCUUGUACUGAAUCCAUAGGUGCAAGAGGCGAACCAGGGGAACUGAAACAUCUAAGUACCCUGAGGAAAAGAAAUCAACCGAGAUUCCCUUAGUAGUGGCGAGCGAACGGGGAUUAGCCCUUAAGCUUCAUUGAUUUUAGCGGAACGCUCUGGAAAGUGCGGCCAUAGUGGGUGAUAGCCCCGUACGCGAAAGGAUCUUUGAAGUGAAAUCGAGUAGGACGGAGCACGAGAAACUUUGUCUGAACAUGGGGGGACCAUCCUCCAAGGCUAAAUACUACUGACUGACCGAUAGUGAACCAGUACCGUGAGGGAAAGGCGAAAAGAACCCGGAGAGGGGAGUGAAAUAGAACCUGAAACCGUAUGCGUACAAGCAGUGGGAGCCUACUUGUUAGGUGACUGCGUACCUUUUGUAUAAUGGGUCAGCGACUUAUAUUCAGUGGCAAGCUUAACCGUAUAGGGUAGGCGUAGCGAAAGCGAGUCUUAAUAGGGCGUUUAGUCGCUGGGUAUAGACCCGAAACCGGGCGAUCUAUCCAUGAGCAGGUUGAAGGUUAGGUAACACUGACUGGAGGACCGAACCCACUCCCGUUGAAAAGGUAGGGGAUGACUUGUGGAUCGGAGUGAAAGGCUAAUCAAGCUCGGAGAUAGCUGGUUCUCCUCGAAAGCUAUUUAGGUAGCGCCUCAUGUAUCACUCUGGGGGGUAGAGCACUGUUUCGGCUAGGGGGUCAUCCCGACUUACCAAACCGAUGCAAACUCCGAAUACCCAGAAGUGCCGAGCAUGGGAGACACACGGCGGGUGCUAACGUCCGUCGUGAAAAGGGAAACAACCCAGACCGCCAGCUAAGGUCCCAAAGUUGUGGUUAAGUGGUAAACGAUGUGGGAAGGCUUAGACAGCUAGGAGGUUGGCUUAGAAGCAGCCAUCCUUUAAAGAAAGCGUAAUAGCUCACUAGUCGAGUCGGCCUGCGCGGAAGAUGUAACGGGGCUCAAACCACACACCGAAGCUGCGGGUGUCACGUAAGUGACGCGGUAGAGGAGCGUUCUGUAAGCCUGUGAAGGUGAGUUGAGAAGCUUGCUGGAGGUAUCAGAAGUGCGAAUGCUGACAUGAGUAACGACAAUGGGUGUGAAAAACACCCACGCCGAAAGACCAAGGGUUCCUGCGCAACGUUAAUCGACGCAGGGUUAGUCGGUUCCUAAGGCGAGGCUGAAAAGCGUAGUCGAUGGGAAACAGGUUAAUAUUCCUGUACUUCUGGUUACUGCGAUGGAGGGACGGAGAAGGCUAGGCCAGCUUGGCGUUGGUUGUCCAAGUUUAAGGUGGUAGGCUGAAAUCUUAGGUAAAUCCGGGGUUUCAAGGCCGAGAGCUGAUGACGAGUCGUCUUUUAGAUGACGAAGUGGUUGAUGCCAUGCUUCCAAGAAAAGCUUCUAAGCUUCAGGUAACCAGGAACCGUACCCCAAACCGACACAGGUGGUCGGGUAGAGAAUACCAAGGCGCUUGAGAGAACUCGGGUGAAGGAACUAGGCAAAAUGGCACCGUAACUUCGGGAGAAGGUGCGCCGGCUAGGGUGAAGGAUUUACUCCGUAAGCUCUGGCUGGUCGAAGAUACCAGGCCGCUGCGACUGUUUAUUAAAAACACAGCACUCUGCAAACACGAAAGUGGACGUAUAGGGUGUGACGCCUGCCCGGUGCCGGAAGGUUAAUUGAUGGGGUUAGCGCAAGCGAAGCUCUUGAUCGAAGCCCCGGUAAACGGCGGCCGUAACUAUAACGGUCCUAAGGUAGCGAAAUUCCUUGUCGGGUAAGUUCCGACCUGCACGAAUGGCGUAACGAUGGCGGCGCUGUCUCCACCCGAGACUCAGUGAAAUUGAAAUCGCUGUGAAGAUGCAGUGUAUCCGCGGCUAGACGGAAAGACCCCGUGAACCUUUACUGUAGCUUUGCACUGGACUUUGAGCCUGCUUGUGUAGGAUAGGUGGGAGGCUUUGAAGCGUGGACGCCAGUUCGCGUGGAGCCAUCCUUGAAAUACCACCCUGGCAUGCUUGAGGUUCUAACUCUGGUCCGUGAUCCGGAUCGAGGACAGUGUAUGGUGGGCAGUUUGACUGGGGCGGUCUCCUCCUAAAGAGUAACGGAGGAGUACGAAGGUGCGCUCAGACCGGUCGGAAAUCGGUCGCAGAGUAUAAAGGCAAAAGCGCGCUUGACUGCGAGACAGACACGUCGAGCAGGUACGAAAGUAGGUCUUAGUGAUCCGGUGGUUCUGUAUGGAAGGGCCAUCGCUCAACGGAUAAAAGGUACUCCGGGGAUAACAGGCUGAUACCGCCCAAGAGUUCAUAUCGACGGCGGUGUUUGGCACCUCGAUGUCGGCUCAUCACAUCCUGGGGCUGAAGCCGGUCCCAAGGGUAUGGCUGUUCGCCAUUUAAAGUGGUACGCGAGCUGGGUUUAGAACGUCGUGAGACAGUUCGGUCCCUAUCUGCCGUGGACGUUUGAGAUUUGAGAGGGGCUGCUCCUAGUACGAGAGGACCGGAGUGGACGAACCUCUGGUGUUCCGGUUGUCACGCCAGUGGCAUUGCCGGGUAGCUAUGUUCGGAAAAGAUAACCGCUGAAAGCAUCUAAGCGGGAAACUUGCCUCAAGAUGAGAUCUCACUGGGAACUUGAUUCCCCUGAAGGGCCGUCGAAGACUACGACGUUGAUAGGCUGGGUGUGUAAGCGUUGUGAGGCGUUGAGCUAACCAGUACUAAUUGCCCGUGAGGCUUGACCAUAUAACACCCAAACA
This 2911-nucleotide ribosomal RNA is filed under the name Pseudomonas aeruginosa. RNAcentral's name for it is "23S ribosomal RNA". It matches the Rfam family "Bacterial large subunit ribosomal RNA". The record is from RNAcentral. Lineage: Bacteria; Pseudomonadati; Pseudomonadota; Gammaproteobacteria; Pseudomonadales; Pseudomonadaceae.